RNAcentral lists this ribosomal RNA (205 nucleotides) under uncultured bacterium. RNAcentral's name for it is "partial 16S ribosomal RNA". It matches the Rfam family "Bacterial small subunit ribosomal RNA", at positions 1296 to 1500 of the family's 1533-position model. The record is from RNAcentral.
GAUUGCAGGCUGNAACCCGCCUGCAUGAAGCCGGAAUCGCUAGUAAUCGCAGAUCAGAAUGCUGCGGUGAAUACGCUCCCGGGUCUUGUACACACCGCCCGUCACACCAUGGGAGUCGAUAACGCCCGAAGUCAGUGACCCAACCGAGAGGAGGGAGCUGCCGAAGGCGGGAUGGAUAACUGGGGUGAAGUCGUAACAAGGUAAC